GGUCGGCGUUAGCCGUGCAUUAACCUUUUCAGCUUAUGAAGGAAUCAUGUCCGGUUUUCCGGAUGUGGGGCAGAUUUCGAUCUGCCGCUGUUUUUGAUGCCUCUGUCGACUUUAUCAAAGCCGCCCCUCCCGGGCGGCUUUUUUUUC
Molecule: small RNA, 147 nt
Filed under: Methylobacterium sp. Leaf93
Lineage: Bacteria; Pseudomonadati; Pseudomonadota; Alphaproteobacteria; Hyphomicrobiales; Methylobacteriaceae
Description: Alphaproteobacterial sRNA BjrC1505
Rfam family: Alphaproteobacterial sRNA BjrC1505
Source: Rfam by way of RNAcentral